This 496-nucleotide ribosomal RNA is filed under the name uncultured bacterium. Its description in RNAcentral is "partial 16S ribosomal RNA". It matches the Rfam family "Bacterial small subunit ribosomal RNA", at positions 28 to 507 of the family's 1533-position model. The record is from RNAcentral.
GAUGAACGCUGGCGGCGUGCCUAAUACAUGCAAGUCGAGCGAACAGACGAGGAGCUUGCUCCUCUGACGUUAGCGGCGGACGGGUGAGUAACACGUGGAUAACCUACCUAUAAGACUGGGAUAACUUCGGGAAACCGGAGCUAAUACCGGAUAAUAUAUUGAACCGCAUGGUUCAAUAGUGAAAGACGGUUUUGCUGUCACUUAUAGAUGGAUCCGCGCCGCAUUAGCUAGUUGGUAAGGUAACGGCUUACCAAGGCAACGAUGCGUAGCCGACCUGAGAGGGUGAUCGGCCCCACUGGAACUGAGACACGGUCCAGACUCCUACGGGAGGCAGCAGUAGGGAAUCUUCCGCAAUGGGCGAAAGCCUGACGGAGCAACGCCGCGUGAGUGAUGAAGGUCUUCGGAUCGUAAAACUCUGUUAUUAGGGAAGAACAAAUGUGUAAGUAACUAUGCACGUCUGACGGUACCUAAUCAGAAAGCCACGGCUAACUACGUG